GAUGAACGCUGGCGGCGUGCCUAAUACAUGCAAGUCGAGCGAACAGACGAGGAGCUUGCUCCUCUGACGUUAGCGGCGGACGGGUGAGUAACACGUGGAUAACCUACCUAUAAGACUGGGAUCACUUCGGGAAACCGGAGCUAAUACCCGAUAAGAUAUUGAACCGCAUGGUUCAAUAGUGAAAGACGGUUUUGCUGUCACUUAUAGAUGGAUCCGCGCCGCAUUAGCUAGUUGGUAAGGUAACGGCUUACCAAGGCAACGAUGCGUAGCCGACCUGAGAGGGUGAUCGGCCACACUGGAACUGAGACACGGUCCAGACUCCUACGGGAGGCAGCAGUAGGGAAUCUUCCGCAAUGGGCGAAAGCCUGACGGAGCAACGCCGCGUGAAUGAUGAAGGUCUUCGGAUCGUAAAACUCUGUUAUUAGGGAAGAACAAAUGUGUAAGUAACUAUGCACGUCUUGACGGUACCUAAUCAGAAAGCCACGGCUAACUACGUG
This 497-nucleotide ribosomal RNA is filed under the name uncultured bacterium. Its description in RNAcentral is "partial 16S ribosomal RNA". It matches the Rfam family "Bacterial small subunit ribosomal RNA", at positions 28 to 507 of the family's 1533-position model. The record is from RNAcentral.